This 425-nucleotide ribosomal RNA is filed under the name Rhipicephalus sanguineus (brown dog tick). RNAcentral describes it as "partial 16S ribosomal RNA". The record is from RNAcentral. Lineage: Eukaryota; Metazoa; Arthropoda; Arachnida; Ixodida; Ixodidae.
GACUCCUGCUCCAAAUGUUUUUUAAAUUGCUGUGGUAUUUUGACUAUACAAAGGUAUUGAAAUAAGAUUUUAAUUGAAUGCUAAGAGAAUGGAAGUCCAGAAAAAAACUUUUUUUAAAUUAAAAAUUGAAGUUUUUUUAAUUUGUGCAGAAACAAUUAUUUAUAUUAAAGACAAGAAGACCCUAUGAAUUUAUUAAAUUUUUAUUUAAUAUGUAAUUACUAUUAGAAAAAUUUUGGCUGGGGCGGCUAGAAAAUAUUAUGAACUUUUUAAAAAUAAAAUGAUCCAUUAUUAAUGAUUUUAUGUUAAAUACUCUAGGGAUAACAGCGUUAUAUUUUUUGAUAGAUCAUAUUGACAAAAAAGUUUGCGACCUCGAUGUUGGAUUAGGAUACUUUUUUAAUGAAGAUAUAAAAAAAGAAGUUGUCACA